GCGAGGAUGGCGGAAUUGGCAGACGCGCUGGAUUCAGGUUCCAGUGGGGUAACUCCCGUGAAGGUUCAAGUCCUUUUCCUCGCACCA
RNAcentral lists this transfer RNA (87 nucleotides) under Polyangiaceae bacterium. Its description in RNAcentral is "tRNA-Leu". It matches the Rfam family "tRNA". From Rfam's summary of the family: Transfer RNA (tRNA) molecules are approximately 80 nucleotides in length. Their secondary structure includes four short double-helical elements and three loops (D, anti-codon, and T loops). Further hydrogen bonds mediate the characteristic L-shaped molecular structure. tRNAs have two regions of fundamental functional importance: the anti-codon, which is responsible for specific mRNA codon recognition, and the 3' end, to which the tRNAs corresponding amino acid is attached (by aminoacyl-tRNA synthetases). tRNAs cope with the degeneracy of the genetic code in two manners: having more than one tRNA (with a specific anti-codon) for a particular amino acid; and 'wobble' base-pairing, i.e. permitting non-standard base-pairing at the 3rd anti-codon position. The record is from RNAcentral. Lineage: Bacteria; Pseudomonadati; Myxococcota; Polyangiales; Polyangiaceae.